Molecule: ribosomal RNA, 428 nt
Filed under: uncultured bacterium
Lineage: Bacteria
Description: bacterial SSU rRNA
Rfam family: Bacterial small subunit ribosomal RNA
Source: RNAcentral
UGGGGAAUAUUGGACAAUGGGCGCAAGCCUGAUCCAGCAAUGCCGCGUGUGUGAAGAAGGCCUUCGGGUUGUAAAGCACUUUUAUCAGGAGCGAAAUCUGCAGGGCUAAUACCCAUGCAGUCUGACGGUACCUGAGGAAUAAGCACCGGCUAACUCCGUGCCAGCAGCCGCGGUAAUACGGAGGGUGCAAGCGUUAAUCGGAAUUACUGGGCGUAAAGCGUGCGUAGGCGGUUCGUUAAGUCUGUUGUGAAAGCCCCGGGCUCAACCUGGGAAUGGCAAUGGAUACUGGCGAGCUAGAGUGUGUCAGAGGAUGGUGGAAUUCCCGGUGUAGCGGUGAAAUGCGUAGAGAUCGGGAGGAACAUCAGUGGCGAAGGCGGCCAUCUGGGACAACACUGACGCUGAGGCACGAAAGCGUGGGGAGCAAACAG